UAGGGAAUCUUCCGCAAUGGGCGAAAGCCUGACGGAGCAACGCCGCGUGAGUGAUGAAGGUCUUCGGAUCGUAAAACUCUGUUAUUAGGGAAGAACAAAUGUGUAAGUAACUAUGCACGUCUUGACGGUACCUAAUCAGAAAGCCACGGCUAACUACGUGCCAGCAGCCGCGGUAAUACGUAGGUUGCAAGCGUUAUCCGGAAUUAUUGGGCGUAAAGCGCGCGUAGGCGGUUUUUUAAGUCUGAUGUGAAAGCCCACGGCUCAACCGUGGAGGGUCAUUGGAAACUGGAAAACUUGAGUGCAGAAGAGGAAAGUGGAAUUCCAUGUGGAGCGGUGAAAUGCGCAGAGAGAUGGAGGAACACCAGUGGCGAAGGCGACUUUCUGGUCUGUAACUGACGCUGAUGUGCGAAAGCGUGGGGAUCAAACAGG
RNAcentral lists this ribosomal RNA (429 nucleotides) under Actinomycetes bacterium. Its description in RNAcentral is "Actinobacteria bacterium partial 16S ribosomal RNA". It matches the Rfam family "Bacterial small subunit ribosomal RNA", at positions 355 to 776 of the family's 1533-position model. The record is from RNAcentral. Lineage: Bacteria; Bacillati; Actinomycetota; Actinomycetes.